ACACUGCCAAAGAGAACGCCAUG
RNAcentral lists this non-coding RNA (23 nucleotides) under Cricetulus griseus (Chinese hamster). The record is from RNAcentral. Lineage: Eukaryota; Metazoa; Chordata; Mammalia; Rodentia; Cricetidae.